AUGGCCGAGCACCUCGCGUCUAUCUUCGGCACGGAGAAGGACCGCGUGAACUGCCCGUUCUACUUCAAGAUCGGCGCGUGCCGGCACGGCGACCGCUGCUCCCGCCUGCACAACAAGCCGUCCGUCUCGCCCACGCUGCUGCUCUGCAACAUGUACCAGCGCCCCGACAUGAUCACCCCGGGCGUGGACGCGCAGGGCAACCCCAUCGACCCCGUCAAGAUCCAGGGCGACUUCGAGGACUUCUACGAGGACAUCUUCGACGAGCUCAGCAAGCACGGCGAGGUCGAGAACCUGCACGUCUGCGACAACCUCGCCGACCACCUGAUUGGCAACGUGUACGUGCAGUUCAGGGAGGAGGACCAGGCCGCCAAGGCCCUCCAGGCGCUGCAGGGGAGGUUCUACUCGGGCCGCCCCAUCAUCGCUGAGUUCUCGCCCGUCACCGACUUCCGGGAGGCCACCUGCCGGCAGUUCGAGGAGCACAACUGCAACCGUGGAGGGUACUGCAACUUCAUGCAUGUCAAGGAGAUUGGCAGGGACCUGAGGAAGAGGCUCUAUGGGCACCUGCAUAGGUCCAGGAGGAGCCACAGCAGGAGCCCGAGCCCCUACCGUCACCACGCCAGGGACCGUGAUCGCUCCUCACGGUCUAGGGACCGGGGCGACUACUAUGGAGGCAGCCUGGACCGUGGUGACUACGGCGACUACUACCACCACAGCCGGAGGAGCAGCGAGAGGAAUCGCAACUAUGACAGCGAUGGGAGCAGGCGGCGCCGGCGACACAGGUCUAGGACUAGGAGCCCGGUCAGGGAGGGCAGCGAGGAGAGGAGGGCAAAGAUUGAGCAGUGGAACCGUGAAAGGGAGGCGCCUGCCAGGCAGGGCAGCGAGGAGAGGAGGGCGAAGAUCGAGCAGUGGAACCGCGAAAGGGAGACUGCUCAGGCGUGA
Molecule: ribosomal RNA, 939 nt
Filed under: Triticum aestivum (bread wheat)
Lineage: Eukaryota; Viridiplantae; Streptophyta; Magnoliopsida; Poales; Poaceae
Description: partial small subunit ribosomal RNA
Source: RNAcentral